Molecule: ribosomal RNA, 404 nt
Filed under: Fusobacteriota bacterium
Lineage: Bacteria; Fusobacteriati; Fusobacteriota
Description: Fusobacteria bacterium partial 16S ribosomal RNA
Rfam family: Bacterial small subunit ribosomal RNA
Source: RNAcentral
UGGGGAAUAUUGCACAAUGGAGGGAACUCUGAUGCAGCGACGCCGCGUGAGUGAUGAAGGAAUUCGUUUCGUAAACCUCUGUUCUAUGGGAAGAAAAGGACUGUACCAUAGGAGAAAGCUCCGGCUAAAUACGUGCCAGCAGCCGCGGUAAUACGUAUGGAGCGAGCGUUGUCCGGAAUUAUUGGGCGUAAAGGGUGCGCAGGCGGCUUUACAAGUUGGAUGUGAAAUAUUGUGGCUCAACCACAAACGUGCAUCCAAAACUGCAAAGCUUGAGUUAAGGAGAGGUAAGUGGAAUUCCUGGUGUAGCGGUGGAAUGCGUAGAUAUCAGGAGGAAUACCGGUGGCGAAGGCGACUUACUGGACUUAAACUGACGCUCAGGCACGAAAGCGUGGGGAGCAAACAGG